AUGUAUAGAAAUGCUUGGAAUCCUAGCGGAAGUGAAUCUGUUUCCGUAAUUUUAAGACAAGCUGGGGAAUUGAUCGGGGA
This 80-nucleotide non-coding RNA is filed under the name Rhodosorus marinus. Lineage: Eukaryota; Rhodophyta; Stylonematophyceae; Stylonematales; Stylonemataceae. The record is from RNAcentral.